RNAcentral lists this ribosomal RNA (397 nucleotides) under uncultured bacterium. RNAcentral describes it as "partial 16S ribosomal RNA". It matches the Rfam family "Bacterial small subunit ribosomal RNA", at positions 523 to 918 of the family's 1533-position model. The record is from RNAcentral.
AUACGUAGGGGGCGAGCGUUGUCCGGAAUGAUUGGGCGUAAAGGGCGCGUAGGCGGCCCGGUAAGUCUGGAGUGAAAGUCCUGUUUUUAAGAUGGGAAUUGCUUUGGAUACUGUCGGGCUUGAGUGCAGGAGAGGUAAGUGGAAUUCCCAGUGUAGCGGUGAAAUGCGUAGAGAUUGGGAGGAACACCAGUGGCGAAGGCGACUUACUGGACUGUAACUGACGCUGAGGCGCGAAAGUGUGGAGAGCAAACAGGAUUAGAUACCCUGGUAGUCCACACUGUAAACGAUGAAUGCUAGGUGUAGGGGGUAUCGACCCCUUCUGUGCCGCAGUCAACACAAUAAGCAUUCCGCCUGGGGAGUACGGCCGCAAGGUUGAAACUCAAAUGAAUUGACGGGG